Molecule: ribosomal RNA, 253 nt
Filed under: uncultured bacterium
Lineage: Bacteria
Description: partial 16S ribosomal RNA
Rfam family: Bacterial small subunit ribosomal RNA
Source: RNAcentral
UACGUAGGUGGCAAGCGUUAUCCGGAUUUAUUGGGCGUAAAGGGAACGCAGGCGGUCUUUUAAGUCUGAUGUGAAAGCCUUCGGCUUAACCGGAGUAGUGCAUUGGAAACUGGGAGACUUGAGUGCAGAAGAGGAGAGUGGAACUCCAUGUGUAGCGGUGAAAUGCGUAGAUAUACGGAAGAACACCAGUAGCGAAAGCGGCUCUCUGGUCUGUAACUGACGCUGAGGUUCGAAAGCGUGGGUAGCAAACAGG